GUGGACAUGUCAGGUUAUAAAUGACCCUGUCUCCUUUGUUUGGUGAACUCUCAUGGCAAAACUGCUGGUGAGUGUACCCUUUCUGCAGGAAGUAAAAAUGGCCUUACUAAAUAAAUUUAUGUUCAAGUGCUAUUUCUUUAUGGCACUGGGGAACAAGCAUUUCAAACAAUUUGGUGUCAAUCCGUACAGGGAUACAUUCUCCUCUAGGGGUGGUCUCCAGUCCUCUCUCAUGAGGGAGCAUGCUCCCCUACCUCAUUGAAGGUGCCUCAGGGAUGAGAAAUUGAGACCCACCCAGUGUGGUGAAUAAACCCGGACUCUCAGCAAUGCAAAAAAAUAAAAAAGAAACUGGCCAGCAAUCUAGCUUAAAGGAUCUUCACAUACUGCAGCGACAACUCUGUGCACAGACCAAGGAAGGAGAAGCCGCAGGAGCUGAAGUCUUUCAGCACAGGUACCACCCCUAGAAUUUCCCGUACAUCAGCACCAGCCUGCAAACCACGUCCUCAUCAAAAGCUAGAAAGAAGAAACUCAAGCCAGCCUGGGAAGAACCCUAUUUUAUGCUGUUAACCACUGAGACUGCCAUCUGCACAGCUGAGAAAAAAAAAAAAUUGGACCCACCAUACUCAAGUCAAGAAAACAUCUUCCUCUCAGAAUCAUGGGUUACUGUACUAAGAUCAAGCCCUACUAAGUUAACGUUAAAGAAAGAUUAAUUUUCAUAUACGUUCUAUAUUUCUUCCUUUCCUUUCCUUAUUCUGUUACUAGCUCCUUUAUUAAUAAUAUAACUAAGUCUGACUCACCUAAGUCUGACUCACCUAUUGCCUUUAAUACUUGCUCUGUCAUACCUUGAGGAAAUGUAAAAGAUCAACAACAACUAGCCUUUUCACACAAAUAUUUAUGCCCCAGCACUCUAGUUGACACAGUUACCCCUAGCACUCAUUGUUGUAAUGACCUGCAGCCAAGACGCUGAUCUUCUGCUCCUACCGCCUGGCAACCUUGUAGUAAAUGGGACUACAUCCCUUAAACUACCCAGGAGCAAAGCUGGAUUUCCACGAAAAGGUUUCUGCAGAUCUAAAACCCCUCAUCUAUUUCACUAAAAGGACUACCCCUUCUAACUGUCAGCCUUAUCUAUAUAACCCUGUCCUUCUCUUUAUCACCCCUUCCACCUUAACUAACUCUAGACCUGCCCUUAGUCACUUCUAUGGUAUAAGAAUUGACAUAAAUAGAAAAGACUCCCCGACCCCAGGUAUUUUAAAAAUAUAUAUUAUUCCGCCAUCUUCCCCUUCUUCGGUAGCCUCAGAUCUAGAUCCCACAACAGUUGCUCCUACAUCUAAUAAAGCUAGGGUGUCUAUUGUAAAAAUAAGAGAUCUAAAACAGACCUUAGCCAUCAAGACAAAAUAUCAAGAUGCAAAUGCCUGGCUGAAAUGGACUAAAUAAUCCAUUCGCACUUUAAAUAAAAGCGAUUAUUAUACUUGUACACACCGUAGGCCUGAGGCCCAGAUUAUCCCCUUUCCACUCCGAUGGUCUCCUUGUCGACCAGAUAUGGACUGUAUGGUGGCUGUUUUUCAAAAUCCCACAGCUUGGGAUAAUCCAACAUACUGAGCUCUCUCUGCUAUAUCCUGAAAUUCAACACCCUGCGGGUCAACCCCUGAGGGCAAUCCAGCUUCCACUUCUGAAUGCCAAGUUUACUUCAUGCCUCUCACGGCAGGGGUAAAAUUUAGUGUUCCUUGGAAGCAUAAAAGGAUGCAAGGAGCUUAAGCCUUUCCAAGAGCUUGCCCAUCCGUCCUCCCCACACACAUUUAUGGUGGUACUGUGGAAGACCUUUACUGGACACUCUGCCAAAUAAUUGGAGCAGUACUUGUGCUCUAAUCCAAUUGGCUAUCCCCUUCACCCUGGCAUUUCAUCAAUCUAAAAAGGUAAAAACAAAACACCACAGGCCAAGAAAAACUCUUUAUAAGUCUUUUAAUCCUCAGGUUUACAUAAAUGCUAUUAAGGUCCUGUGAGAAGUGCCAAAUAAGUUUAAAGCACAAAAUGAAACAGCUGCAGAAUUUAAAUGCAUGUUAUUCUGGUAAGUAUUAAAAAAAAGUAGACUAAAUAAACUAUAUCUAUUACAAUCAGCAAUAAUUCAUAAAUUACACUGAGGACACCAUCAAAGAGAUGGCUAAGCAGUUAGGAUCUACCAGCCAGAUGGCCUAGAAAAAUAAAUUUUAAAAAAUAGCUUUAAAUAUAAUAUUAGCAGAAAAAGGAGAUGUUUGUGUCGUAAUUAAAACUCAAUCUUGGAACCUCUGCAGAAAAAAAUUGAUUCCUCGGCAGUGUCAUGAAAGCAAACCAGUUAAUAAAGCUACAAAAUUAAUGGCUCAAUUGUAACACAGUGGUGAUGCGUCUAAUUCCCCACAAAGACCAAUAAAUUAAAUGUCUUAUACAAAACUCAAUAUUGUACCUUUUUUCCUAAUAAUACUGCCCUUGAUGGAACUAUAGCAAAAGCGCUACAAAGGUUAACAGCCCUAUCCAAUAAACUUGCCUCAGGAGGUCCUGACCAGACAUGUGCCCAAGGUGGUCAGAGCACAGUUUGGUUUUACACAUUUUAGGGAGACAUGAGACAUCAAUCAACAUAUGUAAGAUGACCAUUGGUUAGGUCUGGAAAGCCAGGAGGGAGCUUCCAGGUCAUAUACAGAUAAGAAACAGAUGGUUGCAUUCUUUUGAGUUUCUGAUGAGCCUCUCUAAAGGAGGCAAUCAGAUAUGCAUUUAUCUUAGUGAGCUUCAGAUAAUGGGAGGCAGGUUUGGACUAAGCAGUUCCCAGCUUCACUCUUCCCUUUAGCUUAGUAAUUUUGGGGCCCCAAUAUUUAUUUUCCUUUCACAAUGCAUAAGUAUUAGGCCACAGAAACAGCAAAGUCUUAACAGAAAUGGUGAAAUCUUACUAAAGAUAAGUUAUCAUGGAAGGUUCCAAAUAAACAACACUGCACUGAAGAAAUGCAUUUGAAAAAUAGGGCUCCCAAAUUAGUCUCAUCUAGGGAUGUCUAUUGAUAUUCAGAAGCUUCUAAAAAGAUUUCAAUAUUUUUAUUUAAAGAUUUUAUGAAAGGCAAAUAAAAAGCUUAAGAAACUAAUUGAUAAGAAAAAUUAAAUCUGUUAAUCUUUGCUUAGUUACUAUUCCACCCUAAAGGUAGAAAGAAAGCUAUCCUAGAUAAGGUAUUUAUAAAAGUUAAGCCCUCAGGUAAAAUAGACUUGCUUCUUGUUCAGACCUAUCCAUGCGGGAGGCCAGGCAUAGAGGAUGCUUUCUUGGCUCUGUUCCAUAAUGAGUUCCCCCUUGAACUCAGUAAUUUUAACCAAGAGACAGUGGCUACAUUAAAAAGAACACCCUAUUGAAAUAAAAUGCACCUUUCUGGAAUUUAAUUGGCUACUUUGAAACUCUUUUGUAUAAGAAAUUUCCAUCUAUAAAAGAAAUCUCAAUUUUUAAGGAUGUCUGCCUACAUACAAUAGAAACUCUAACCAUUCUUUUAAAUUUAAAUAAUAAGUAAUGCCUUUGUUUAAGGUGCUUUUCUAUCUUAAGUGAACUUUUACUUGAGCAAUUUUUUUUUCUCCUUGAUUUGAACAAAUAAUGAAUCAAUACUUAGGCUGAGAAUCUUAGCUCUGUGCUUAUGAAAUAUACAUCCUUUUUGUUACACCUAAGAGUUGUCCCUUUAGAAAUGCAAAUUUGUUGCUGAGUUAACAAUUGCUUAGGGAAAUGAAACAGGUAAUAGAAAGAUUGAUACACCAAAUGGAGAAAAGAAAAAAGUAUUUUAAAACUGGCAAAAGCUAUAAGAUCUGCUUCUGUUUGUUUGUAUGUCUAUAUGUGUUAUGUGUAUGUGAUAUCUGGUAAAUAAAGAUAGUUUUUAAUUUAUUGGUAAAAUAGAAAUGUCUUCAAAAUUAUCAGUUGAAUAUAAUUAGAUACCCACUUGAUUUGACUGUGAGCUUAUGUCUUUGGUUUAGAGUCUCUGGAUUCAGGGGUCUGGAUAGGUGGCCAUGAUGACAUCUGGAGACACGUUCUUAGAGUCUAGACCACCAGCUACAAGCCCAAUAUGGCCUCUUCCUCCUCUGCUUUCCCUGUUUUGCCUCCUGGCUAUUGUGGGAGCGGUUGGAUCCUCCAAGUAUAGUCUUCACAGCUCUGGCUUCUGUCCUGAUGGACUCAGGCCCCGAUGUUCAUAGUCCUCAUGGGGGGCACAUGGCUUCUUGGGACUUAGAAUGACUGGGAAGAGACAUUAGGGAGGCUGCCUGUGUCAUAGCUUCAAAAUUCUUUUCAGUAAUUUAAAAUCCUAGAGUCAUGUUAUGUUUAAUUAAGUAAUAAAAAAAUUCACAAAAUGAGUCGUGUUCAAGUUAAGAUACUGAAAUAUUCAUUAUUACACAUGCAUUUAAGUCUAUAUACCUUGACAUAUUAUUUCUAUAUAGUAUAGAAAAGUAAAUAUAUUUAGAUCUGAUAAUAAAAAAUAAUUUGAAGAACUAUCUCUCUAAAAAAUUAUAAAAUGCUUUUUAUCUACAAAUAACUGAUAUGAAACAGUUCAAAAUUACUUUCUAGAGUUUUCACUAGAAAUAAGGGUUACUAACAGUUAAAAACUACUGUCAGAAGUGUUUGAACCUGAGCAAAUCCAUCUUGAAUAAGGGCUUCGUAAAAUGAGGCUAAGACCUACUGGGCUGCAUUCCCAGAAAAUUAAGUCAUUCUCAGUCACAGGAUGAGAAAGAGGUUGGCACAAGAUACAGGUCUUAAAGACCUUGCUGAUAAAACAGCUUGCAGUAAAGAAGCUAAGACCCACCAAAACCAAGAUGGUGAUGAGAGUGAUCUCUGGUUGUCCUCACUGCUACACUCCCAUUAGCACCAUGACAGUUUACAAAUGCCAUGGCAACAUCAGGAAGUUACCCCAAUAACCCUCUGUUGGGUCCUGGAUUGGGACUCCUUUCCUGUAGCAUCUUUCUGGUGACCACUAAAGGGACUAUAGUGCAGAAAACCCCCACCCAAAAGAUAACUGGUAAGUGGUAGGGGCCAGUAAUAUCUUUCUGGUGAACACUGAGGGGACAAUACUGAAGAAACCCCCUGACCCAAAGGAAAUAGACUACAGCACUGAUUGGCCAACUUUGGGUAAGUGGUGGGGUACCCAGGUAAAGGGUGGAAUUGGGUUAGAGGCCAAACUUAGGGGAGUCAGAGUCUCUCCUAAGACAGAGUGGGUUAGCGCACACUUGAUAAAAGGCAAGGACACUUUACCCACCUUGGGUUAAAGGCCCAGCUUAGGAGGGUUAGAGUCCCUCUGAAGAUUUAAGGAGUUAGAAGCCUGUUUCAGUAAAGUCCCUUUUGGCUAAGAAUGGGUUUGGUAUUAUGAGAUGUUAACUGCUAUUCUCUUUGGAUUAAUCAGCCUUGAACUCUUUGCUGACGUCUGUGGGCAUGUAUAGAAUUGUGGGACAUGGGGAGCUUUCUCCUCCUUAAAAGGGGAAACUCAAGAGCUCGUGAGACUGCUGGAAAAUAGCCCUUUGCUACUGACAAGCAGCCGCCUGAAAUUUUCAGUGUCACUGCAAUGGGUGCAUCUUUCUCUGGCUUCCCUGAGCACCUCACCUUCCCCACCCUGCCUCAAGCAAUGCUUCCUCUCUCUCUCUGUCUCUCUCUCUCUCUUUCUUUCUCUCUCUCUCUCUGUGCAAACUGGUUGAAUGAAUGGUAAAAAGCAUUGUUUAUCUCCUCUGUAAAGUUUAGAUUAAUGGAAAACAGGAUUUGUGAGGCUAGUCCUAAGCUAUAGUGAAUCUGGCGUGCUUUGUGUGUCUUUCUGUAUUGUUCUGCCAUAAAGAGCGGUAUGGUAGGAUGGAACAUGGGCUUAGGACACCAGUAAGCCCACUGUUCAAGAUGGCCCAGCAAACUGGUCAGUUAUAAAUUUUGCGGCAGGUCCCUAAAAACAAAACUGGAUGAGAUUUCCCUCUUGUCUUGUAUAUCUUGGGGAGCCUGACCUUGCAGCCAUGUAGUGAUACUUUCUCUUUUCACAGUGGUGGCCCAGGUUCAGGGUUCAAUUCCUGGCUUAGGGAAUGAGUCCUUUAUCUUAUUUUGUCUGUGUAUUUAUAUAUGUUGUGUGUGUAAUUUAAAAGAGCUUUAAUUAAAUGGUUUAAUAAUAAGAGCUUACAUCAAAUACUUGAUCAGAAAAGUAAAACGUGUAAUAUCUUUUAUUUAGUUCACAUGAUUUAAGUAAUCUUUGGGAUAUAAAGACAGUUUUAAAGAUUAUUGGUAAAAUAAAAAUCUUUAAAAUGUAAACAUUUGGUCUAAAUUAUGUGGGUCAGAUAUUAGGUUUUCUAAGUGAUUUAAGGUCAUAAACUGCUUCUUUGACUUUUGAAAAUUGUUCAUUUUACCUACUUUGGAGCUUUGGAUUCUAGAUAAGCCCUAGAACCAUGUGGAGCUAGCCACACUCACUAGCUAUGCUGGAAAGAGUCGGAUCUUAUCUGCACUUCUGUCUGGGUCCUAGGCUCCACACCUGGUACAUAGUUCAAAUCACUUACUAACCAGGUUUUUCACCAAAAAUAAAAGUUGCUAAGAGUUAACAUUGUAUGCACUCCAGCCUGGCAACAAAGCAAGACUCUGUCUGAAAAAAAAAAAAAAGAGUUGACAUUAUAACAUGUAAUUGAGACUACUGAAGAAACAGCUUUAUGUUCAAGGUGUGUAAGGAAAGUAGAAUGUACAUUUGAUAAAAGAUUAUAAGAAGGCAUGGGAAUAUGGAUUUCUUCCCUAAGUUUAGAGAGUUAAAGGACUGUUUUAAGUUAGGAUAAAGCUGAAGGGUUAAGCAAGUUGUUAAAGGUCUGUGAAAUAUCAAUCUCAUAGAAGAAAUUAUCUGUGUGAACAUAUUGACUAAAAUUAAAGGGAUGAUAUUCAGUUUUUUGAUAAAUUGAACAUUGGAAUAAAAGCACAACAGGUUUUUCUUAGAGCAAAAACCUGCUUAUAAUCUGCUGUUUAACCAAAAUUUUUAAAUGGUUAUAAAAGGUUUAUUAAAAUCUUACCUCAUGGUCAAACUGAUUAAGAUUAAAUACAUUUGUCUAUAAGGUUUUAUUAAGAUUUGGGUUUAACAUAAAUAGUACAUUAAUGUAAAGGUGAAAUUUGGCUUAUUGGGUACAAAAAUCAUGCAGGAAGUACUGCCAAAUAUGAAAUGGUGUUUGGCUUUCUUUGGGCUAUAUUUGAAUAAAUAUGUUUUUGGUAUGUAAUCCAAAAUAAUGGGAAACUCCUAUAAUUCUGAUAUGACAGUAUAUGUUAUUAAUAAUUAUAAUCAUUAUAUAAAUUUUUGUAUGCCACAAAAAUAACCAAAUUUCCUUAUCACUUGUGGCUUUAAUAGUGGCUGUCCUAAGACUUUUUAUAAUCCACAUACAAUUGUUGUCUUGUUUUGGUCCUCUUUAAAAGGUGGUUUUAUAAUCAACUAUAGGACUUUAACAGGUGCAUUUAAAUGGAGAUUUUCUGAUAACUUUGGAGAUUGUGACAUUAGAAUAGAGAAAACUUUCAGAACUCUCAUAGCUGAAAUGUUCAUGAAUAUCAAACAGAACUGCAUGGACUGAAGUAAUGGAAGCUAUUUAUAGCUUUUAACAAUUGAAUAUAUGCCUGUGAACCAAAUUUGAAGCAUAUUUGUUUCUCUCUACCUAAUUUCCCCAAAAUUUGGAAACUAUUUGUGAGUAUUCUUAAUUUAUGGCAAUAUAAUUAUUUGCAUAAGUGCAAUACAAAUCUGUUUUAUUUUCCAUCAGGACAAAAUUGGAGAAACUGGUUAUUUUAUGGAGGCUUUAACUGGAAUAGCAUGCUUUCCUUUAAGGAAUCAAAUUUGACUUGUGGAGCCAAUGAAAGCCCCUUGAGGAACCGGCCUCAGGCUUUGCCUACACAGUCCCUGUACAGGGUUUCUGCCCUGUGAACCCAAAGACUGGCUCUUCUGAGAACAUCAGAAAGACUGCCCUGGCUAUCCACGUUGAAGCAAAACUUUGGGACUUUUAACCUUGCGUUCAUAAUCUCACAACUCAGUAGGGUCCCUCCGCACUGUUGGAACUGCAUACCUAUUGGAAACCUUCAGGUAAAGCUAAUCAGGGAAGUUUCUCCCCGAAAGAAGAUGGCAUCCAUGAUGUGAACAACUUUUUCUGAAGAUCAUGGAGCAAGACUUCUCUACUAUCAUACAACCCCUAUCUUUCAAUUUUUUUCCUUAUCUAUCCAUUUUUUUCCUAUGUUUAUGCCUCUAUGAACAAUAGAAGUGAAAAGGGGAUCUGUUGUGUGCACUCAUAGGGUUACAAUUUUAUUUGUGAAGGAUUUUGCAGCCAGUCUUAUACAUGGAUAACCUUAAACCUUGAUAGAUGGAAGAUAAAGACCCAAUGUAUGUGAGAAAUUUUAAUGGUACAUACAUAACCUCAUAGUCAGUCAGAAACAGAACAUUGGUCCACUCCUCUUAACCUACAUCAUGUGUUAAAGAGAAUAUUGCCAGAUGAUCUUCACCCUUCUAGAAGGGCUUCAUUCGUUAGGUCCUUUUUUCCAUGUAUUGGAGUAAAUGAGGCAAUUUAUCCCUCAUGAUAGGCUCUGUAGGAGAUCCUACUAUAAAGGCUGUGACUACACAACAGACUUGAAAUUAUCUUGUGAAAGUUAUGCUAAAUAAUAGAAUUGCUCUAAGUUACUUACUGGCUAAACAGAGAAGUAUCUGGCACUUCUUGUUGCCCAUGGAGAAACUUAUCACAUGGGAUAGUAUAAAGAAUCAGUUAUAAGGGAUUAUCGAAGAGACUACUUAAUUGAAGUGAGUAGACUCUUUGUCUAGCUCAUUCUUUGAUCUAUUUGAUUUUAGUUGGUUUGGUUUAAGGGGACCCUGGCUAAGGAACAUACUGCAAACUCUUGGUGUUAUUCUCCUGAUAGUCAUCAUAGUAGUCUCCCUGGUACACUGUAUUCUUGCAAAAUUUUAAAUGUUUGCAGGCAGCUAUCUCUAGAAGUCAAAUGGUCUCUCUUCAAUUGGAAUAACAAGAGCUGAAAGAAAUGUGUGAACAUAAGCGCACCAUAACCUCUGAAUUACAUGCUGAGAUCAGAAACUCAAAAUGAUGGUAACUGAGAGUGGUGCUGAGGCCCUAAAUUUUGGUCACACUCUCACCUAAGUAAGAACCUGACCAGAAUGGGGCACUUUCAGGGGAGGCCAUUGUUUUGGUCUGAGCUCAUGCACUAGGCCCCAGCAGAACAGACCAAAAUAAAAUGAAGUCACUUAUGCUGAAUGUGACAUAAUCAAACUAAGACUUUAAGGAAACACAUAGAUCCUAGAACAGAUCAGGUUUUGUUUUUUCCUGUACACAGGACAUUUCAGGAUAAGGAGGUACCCUCUACACAACUCUUGCAAAAAACAAUCUAAAGUCCUUGUUUCCACCUGCAAAACACACUGUUCUGCUAUUUCCCAUUGAGUUUCAAGAUGAAAUAAGUACAUUUACAAUGAUGAUAGUGACAUCAAUGACUACAGUUUUGGUCAUCCUCUCAAACUCAAAAUAAUUCACAAAUCAUUAUUGCCCAAUUAAAACUUUUAAAUUUAAUUUGGCUAAAGCUUUUAUUUUAAUAAUGUAUAAAAUGUGAAUAAAAAUAGUACAUACCCUAUAGGAUUGUCAUGAACCUUAAAAAGUAUGCUAAAUGUAUGUUAAACAGACAAGUGCCUGAUUCUUGGUAAACACUAUGUUCUGAUUUAUGGUUGCUAUUAUUUUUAUAAUUGUUUAUACCAGAUUGAAAGAAUAAAUUAUUAAGAGAAAAACUUUGGCUGAAUUAAAUUUAAGAGAGUUUAAUUGAGCAAAGAUCAAUUCGUGAAUCGGGCAGCCUCCCAAGCCAGAGUAGGUUCAAAGACUCUAGCAAAGUCACGUGACAGAAGAAGAUUUAUGGACAGAAAAAGGAAAGUGAUAUAUAGAAAACGGAAGUGAGGUACAGAAACAGCCAGAUUGGCUACAGCUCAGCAUUUGCCUUAUUUGAACACAGUUGGAACAGUUGGCUACCUUUGAUUGGUCAAAACUCAAUGAUUGGCACAAGAGCUGCUACAGUCUAUUUACAACUUGAUAUGGUUUGGCUGUGUCCUCACCCAAAUCUCAUCUUGAAUUGUAGCUCCCAUAAUUUCUACUUGUUGUGGGAGGGACCUGGUGGGAGAUAAUUGAAUCAUGAGGGUGGUUUUUCCCAUACUGUUCUCAUGAUAAUGAAUAAGUCUCAUAAGAUGUGAUUAUUUUGUAAGAGGUUUUCCUUUUUGCUUGGCUCUCUCAUUCUGUCUUAUUUGUCACCAUGUAAGAUGUGCCUUUUGCCUUCCACCAUGAGUAUGAGGCCUCCCCAGCCACAUGGAACUGUGAC
This 10300-nucleotide long non-coding RNA is filed under the name Homo sapiens (human). RNAcentral describes it as "HSALNT0116084". The record is from RNAcentral. Lineage: Eukaryota; Metazoa; Chordata; Mammalia; Primates; Hominidae.